Trifolium pratense (red clover) is the source of this 84-nucleotide small nucleolar RNA. NCBI's taxonomy places the organism in Eukaryota, Viridiplantae, Streptophyta, Magnoliopsida, Fabales, Fabaceae. The record is from RefSeq and is a predicted model, not a curated record.
AAGCCUAUGAUGACAAAAUUGAAUUGGAAUUACCGUCUGAAUAACUUUGAUGUAAAUUUCUUGGCUGUGGUACUGAGGCUUCAA